CCUACGGGGGGCUGCAGUUGGGAAUCUUGCACAAUGGGGGAAACCCUGAUGCAGCGACGCCGCGUGGAGGAAGAAGGUUCUAGGCUCGUAAACUCCUUUUUCAGGGAAAGACUUAGGACGGUCCCCUGAGAAUAAGCUCCGGCUAACUACGUGCCAGCAGCCGCGGUAAGCCGUAGGGAGCGAGCGUUGUCCGGAUUUACUGGGCGUAAAGAGCACGUAGGCGGUCGGUUAAGUGAGAGGUGAAAUCCCCAGCGCUCAACGCGGGAACGGCUUUUCAUACUGGCAGACUUGAGGGAUGCAGAGGAAAGUAGAAUUCCUGGUGUACCGGUGAAAUGGGUUGAUAUAAGGAGGAAUACCAAUGGCGAAGGCAGCUUGCUGGGCAUCAUCUGACGCUGAGGUGCGAAAGCGUGGGUAGCAAACAGGAUUAGAUACCCGAGUAGUC
RNAcentral lists this ribosomal RNA (442 nucleotides) under uncultured bacterium. RNAcentral describes it as "partial 16S ribosomal RNA". It matches the Rfam family "Bacterial small subunit ribosomal RNA", at positions 338 to 795 of the family's 1533-position model. The record is from RNAcentral.